GUAGGUGAACCUGCGGAGGGAUCAUUACACAAGUAUGCAAGCCCAGGACUACCGCCGUCCCCUACUUGAGCGGUAGCCGCUAGGGGAGGGUGGUAGCCUGGGAUCCAUAUUCACCCAUGUCUUUUUGCGUACUACCUGUUUCCUUGGCGAGCUCGCUCGCCAAUUGGACCACCAAUUAAACCUUUUUGUAAUUGCAAUCAGCGUCAGAUAACACAAAUGUAAUAAAUUACAACUUUCAACAACGGAUCUCUUGGUUCUG
This 259-nucleotide unclassified non-coding RNA is filed under the name rhizosphere metagenome. RNAcentral's name for it is "partial ribosomal RNA internal transcribed spacer region". The record is from RNAcentral.